GAUGAACGCUGGCGGCGUGCCUAAUACAUGCAAGUCGAGCGAACAGACGAGUUGCUUGCUCCUCUGACGUUAGCGGCGGACGGGUGAGUAACACGUGGAUAACCUACCUAUAAGACUGGGAUAACUUCGGGAAACCGGAGCUAAUACCGGAUAAUAUAUUGAACCGCAUGGUUCAAUAGUGAAAGACGGUUUUGAUGUCACUUAUAGAUGGAUCCGUGUCGCAUUAGCUAGUUGGUAAGGUAACGGCUUACCAAGGCGACGGUGGGUAGCCGACCUGCGAGGGUGAACGGCCACAAUGGAACUGAGACGCGGUCCAGACUCCUACGGGAGGCCGCAAUAGGGAAUCUUGCGCAAUGGGCGAAAGCCUGACGGAGCAACGCCGCGUGAGUGAUGAAGGUCUUCGGAUCGUAAAACUCUGUUAUUGGGGAAGAACGAAUGUGUAAGUAACUAUGCACGUCGUGACGGUACCUAAUCAGAAAGCCACGGCUAACUACGUG
RNAcentral lists this ribosomal RNA (497 nucleotides) under uncultured bacterium. Its description in RNAcentral is "partial 16S ribosomal RNA". It matches the Rfam family "Bacterial small subunit ribosomal RNA", at positions 28 to 507 of the family's 1533-position model. The record is from RNAcentral.